RNAcentral lists this ribosomal RNA (536 nucleotides) under uncultured Streptococcus sp. RNAcentral's name for it is "bacterial SSU rRNA". It matches the Rfam family "Bacterial small subunit ribosomal RNA", at positions 1 to 526 of the family's 1533-position model. The record is from RNAcentral. Lineage: Bacteria; Bacillati; Bacillota; Bacilli; Lactobacillales; Streptococcaceae.
GAAGAGUUUGAUCAUGGCUCAGGACGAACGCUGGCGGCGUGCCUAAUACAUGCAAGUAGAACGCUGAAGGAGGAGUUUGCUUCUCUGGAUGAGUUGCGAACGGGUGAGUAACGCGUAGGUAACCUGCCUGGUAGCGGGGGAUAACUAUUGGAAACGAUAGCUAAUACCGCAUAAGAGUAGAUGUUGCAUGACAUUUGCUUAAAAGGUGCAAUUGCAUCACUACCAGAUGGACCUGCGUUGUAUUAGCUAGUUGGUGGGGUAACGGCUCACCAAGGCGACGAUACAUAGCCGACCUGAGAGGGUGAUCGGCCACACUGGGACUGAGACACGGCCCAGACUCCUACGGGAGGCAGCAGUAGGGAAUCUUCGGCAAUGGACGGAAGUCUGACCGAGCAACGCCGCGUGAGUGAAGAAGGUUUUCGGAUCGUAAAGCUCUGUUGUAAGAGAAGAACGAGUGUGAGAGUGGAAAGUUCACACUGUGACGGUAUCUUACCAGAAAGGGACGGCUAACUACGUGCCAGCAGCCGCGGUAAUAC